AGAUUGAACGCUGGCGGCAGGCCUAACACAUGCAAGUCGAGCGGUAGAGAGGUGCUUGCAUCUCUUGAGAGCGGCGGACGGGUGAGUAAUGCCUAGGAAUCUGCCUAGUGGUGGGGGAUAACGUUCGGAAACGGACGCUAAUACCGCAUACGUCCUACGGGAGAAAGCGGGGGACCUUCGGGCCUCGCGCCAUUAGAUGAGCCUAGGUCGGAUUAGCUAGUUGGUGAGGUAAUGGCUCACCGAAGGCGACGAUCCGUAACUGGUCUGAGAGGAUGAUCAGUCACACUGGAACUGAGACACGGUCCAGACUCCGUACGGGAGGCAGCAGGUGGGAAUAGUUGGAACAAGUGGGACGAAAGCCCUGACUCCGAGACCAUCGGCCGCGUGUGUAGGAAGAAGGUCUUACGGAUUAGUAAAGCUAACGUUUUAAGGUGGGAAGGUUAAGGUU
RNAcentral lists this ribosomal RNA (448 nucleotides) under uncultured soil bacterium. Its description in RNAcentral is "bacterial SSU rRNA". It matches the Rfam family "Bacterial small subunit ribosomal RNA", at positions 26 to 456 of the family's 1533-position model. The record is from RNAcentral.